This 253-nucleotide ribosomal RNA is filed under the name uncultured bacterium. Its description in RNAcentral is "partial 16S ribosomal RNA". It matches the Rfam family "Bacterial small subunit ribosomal RNA", at positions 524 to 776 of the family's 1533-position model. The record is from RNAcentral.
UACAGAGGGUGCAAGCGUUAAUCGGAAUGACUGGGCGUAAAGGGCGCGUAGGUGGUUGUAUAAGUUAGUUGUGAAAUCCCCGGGCUUAACCUGGGAACUGCAGCUAAUACUGUAUAACUAGAGUAGAGUAGAGGAAAGUAGAAUUUCCGGUGUAGCGGUGAAAUGCGUAGAUAUCGGAAGGAAUACCAGUGGCGAAGGCGCUUUCUGGACUCAUACUGACACUGAGGCGCGAAAGCGUGGGGGAGCAAACAGG